GUUCAGUAUUUACAAAUGAAAAUGAAGGAAAGGGACCUCAGUUAGGAAAAAGGACAAAUGAAUUUAUUUCACAUGAGUUUACAGAGGAAGAGGUUCUAUUUCAACUGUCAAAAGUAAAGACAAAUAAGUCAAUGGGACCUGAUGGAAUACACCCAAAGUUAUUAAAAGAGCUUAGUGGUGUACUAGCAAAACCAUUAACAGAUUUAUUUAACCGAUCAUUAACAGGAGUAGUCCCAGUCCCAAGUUAGCGAAUGUUGUGCCCAUUCACAAGAAAGGUAGUAGGGAAGAGUCGGGCAACUAUAGGCCAGUAAGCCUUACUUCAGUAGUGGGGAAAGUAAUGGAAACCAUGUUAAAGGAUAGGAUUGUUGAACAUCUAAAAACACAUGGAUUUCAAGAUCAGAGACAACAUGGGUUUACUUCAGGAAGAUCAUGCCAAGCUAAUCUUAUUGAUUUUUUUUGAUUGGGUAACUAAAAUAAUAUGUCAGGGUGGUGCAGUAGACCAGGGGCCCUCAAGCUCCGGCCCCCCAGAUGUUGCUGAACUACAACUCCCAUGAUCCCAUGAGUUUGAGGACCCCUGCAGUAGACAUUGCUUACCUAUAUUUCAGUAAGGCUUUUGACACUGUUGCACAUAGAAGGCUUAUCAAUAAAUUGCAAUCUUUAAGUUUGGAUUACAAUAUUGUUGAAUGGGUAAGGCAGUGGCUGAGUGACAGGCAACAGAGGGUUGUAGUGAAUGGAGUAUAUUCGAAGCUUAGGCUUGUCACCAGUGGGGUACCUCAGGGAUCUGUACUUGGACCCAUUCUCUUUAAUAUUUUUUAUCAGUGAUAUUGCAGAAGGUCUUGAUGGUAAGGUAUGUCUUUUUGCUGAUGAUACUAAGAUAUGUAACAGGGUUGAUGUUCCAGGAGGGAUAUGGCAAAUGAUUUAGGUAAACUAGAAAAAUGGUCAGAGUUGUGGCAACUGACAUUUAAUGUGGGUAAGUGCAAGAUAAUGCAUCUUGGACGUAAAAACCCAAGGGCAGAGUACAGAAUAUUUGAUAGAGUCCUAACCUCAACAUCUGAGGAAAGGGAUUUAGGGGUGAUUAUUUCUGAUGACUUAAAGGUAGGCAGAUAAUGUAACAGAGCAGCAGGAAAUGCUAACAGAAUGCUUGGUUGUAUAGGGAUAGGUAUUAGCAGUAGAAAGAGGGAAGUGUUCAUGCCAUUGUACAGAACACUGGUGAGACCUCACUUGGAUUAUUGUACGCAGUACUGGAGACCGUAUCUUCAGAAGGAUAUUGAUACUUUAGAGAGGGUUCAGAGAAGGGCUGCUAAACUGGUUCACGGAUUGCAGGAUAAAAUUUACCAGGAAAGGUUAAAGGAUCUUAACAUGUAUAGCUUGGAGGAAAGACGAGACAGGGGGGAUAUGAUAGAAACAUUUAAAUACAAUAAGGCGAAUCAACAUAGUAAAGGAGGAAACCAUAUUUAAAAGAAGAAAAAAUACCACAACAAGAGGACAAUCUUAAAUUAGAGGGGCAAAGGUUUAAAAAUAAUAUCAGGAAGUAUUACUUUACUCAGAGGGUAGUGGAUGCAUGCAAUAGCCUUCCAGCUGAAGUGGUAGAGGCUAAUGCAGUUAUAGAGUUUAAGCAUGCGUGGGAUAGGCAUAAGACUAACUAUAAGAUAAGGCUAGCGACUAAUGAAAGUAUUUAGAAAAUUGGGCAGACUAGAUGGGCUGAAUUGUUCUUAUCUGCCAUCACAUUCUAUGCUUCUAUCUAAGUCCUGAUAAUGAGCAGUUUCCCCCAAAUUGGGAUGCUUGUAGGCCUUAGAGAGCUACAGACUGCUCUCUACACCAUGCAGACACUAACUAGAAACAGAUGCACAAUAUCCCUGUGAUUAUUAACAGGUACAGAAUAUCCUCCAGGCUGAUAAAAGGCCUGUCCACACUUCAGCUUGAACACACUAUAUAAAAACUAGCGCCUUUAAGACUGGGUAACUCUGGAUUUAGUUAUUAGAGCAG
Pelobates cultripes (western spadefoot toad) is the source of this 1986-nucleotide non-coding RNA. The record is from the annotation of a GenBank genome assembly. Lineage: Eukaryota; Metazoa; Chordata; Amphibia; Anura; Pelobatidae.